Long non-coding RNA from Amphiprion ocellaris (clown anemonefish), 1842 nucleotides. RefSeq lists it as uncharacterized. NCBI's taxonomy places the organism in Eukaryota, Metazoa, Chordata, Actinopteri, Pomacentridae. The transcript is spliced from 5 exons. The record is from RefSeq and is a predicted model, not a curated record.
UCUGGAUUAAUACCACACACCAGAUUUCUUAUUUCUCUUUUUGUUUUGUUUUUUAUUAUUCUUUUUUUGAAUUGUUCAAGCUUUUUUUUUUCUAUUUCUGGGCUGAAGAAACAACCUGCAGUCAUGUCUCGGGGUCCGGAUGAUGUGAGCAAGCUGACAGAAAGUACCUACAAGCCUCAGAUCACGAAGCCCCGCCCACACCUCCGACUGCGGCUCAGGGUGAUGCUAGGGGAAGAAGCAGACAUGGCGGGCUCGCUCCAAUCAGACCAACACGAGAGGGCGGUUAUGGCCGGUGUACGGGCUGCACUUUAGUCCACACCACAAACGGUUUCCACACCACAGAUACCUCUGGCCGGACCCUCACGUACUUCAAGCUUUGCCGCGACCACCACGUCACUAAGAUCGGUCUGCGAGAACUUUGACCAAAGAAGAAAUCAUAGGAAUAGUAUGGGCACAUAGUGAGAGGGUGGUCACAACAGCCUACAGACCAAUCUACAUGAGCCGAGGGAAUGUGUGGACAACUGCCCUCCGACAGUUUAGCAGGCGUAGAUUCGCUGACAGCACAGACAUGCUGUAUGUCACUUUUGCCAGCGAUGAAGACACCAAUGAGGAUGCAGAAGACCUUGGAGGCCCCAGACGAGAAUUCUUCCAUCUACUUGGAAAAGCUGUCUUUAAAGACAGUGGAGCAUUUGAAGACCAAAGAACUACAGACUCUUCACAACCUGCUCAAACUCUUGGUACAGGACCUCACCACACGGGUCAAGAAGGUUUCCAUCUCAUUUCUACUCUGAAGCUCACCUUCUCCUGCUCAAACUGCUGACAAAUGUUUCUGCUGCUCUAAAGUCUGGUCUCCAGAACUUCCUAAAAACUCUCAAAGUCUCUUCUGCUGCAGGUUGCUUUGUAGAACUGUUCCAGAAAACCUCACUAAACCACAUGGAGGGGCCUCAAGAUAGUCGUACAAAUGAAACCGUACAAAAACCAAACUAGCACAACCCAAAUGCUAAAGUCUCCUGCAGCCUACCAGAGAACCUCUGAGAACAGAGAAUCAGGACAGGAACUCUUACCUUCUGGACAACCAGCGUUGCUUCACAAACAAGAAUACAGAAUGUGUCUGACCAAAAACCUCUAAAGACUCACUACAGCCAAGAUAAAGACACAACUCAGCUGCACCAAAUCCACUAAUCACUGCACACAUUAGCACCAUGUGCUAACUGUGGCUAAAGAACCACAUUUACCAAGACAACUAUCCGGUACAAAGCCCUAAAACACACCAAGAAACACAUUAAAGACGAUUUUACUGCUGGAAGCUGCAAACCAACGCCUUAAAGAACAAACUAAAGCAACAGAGCCAAACCCAGUUUAGUGGUGAAUAGAAGCAGAGGAAAUGUUUGUCUGCAGCUAAAUAAAGCAGGAAGACACUGAGCUGCUCAGGUGUUCCUGAUAACACCAAGCAGCCACCUGGACAGCCAAUAGGAACACAGCUUACUGGAAGUCCAGAGGGCUGGGUUAGUGAAGGAAAUUUAAAGUUGAGGCAGAAAGUUAACAAAGAAAGUUGAAAACCACCUUCUGAUACCCGAAAUCUCUGAGUUUUCACACAAAGAAUGCCUGAACAUGUCAAACUGGUUCCAUAGUAGAACCAUCAUUGUAAAAACGUCAUAGUAUGGUGUGUUGCUCCAAAAACAUUACAACCCGGCUGUCUAGGGUCACCGAGGAGCAACACAAAAACAGGACAAACGCUGGUUUCCAGGGGGUUAGGCGGAUAUUUAUUUGAAAGAGUAAGUUUACAACAACACGUGAGCAGAAAAAUCACAAAGUCUGUCUUUAGUUCAACUGAAAAUAUUA